GUCAUUUCUUGUUCUUCCGGAUAUCCAUGAGUCCGUGUUGUUUGUGUAGGUACAGAGCCUGCUGUCAGAGUUCGCACAUGUCCCGAAUCGAUCACUCAAUGGCACGCGUGGGUUUAUUUGCCCAGGCUAUUUGGUGUCGGCUCAACCCUCGCACUGCGCCCUUUAAGAAGGGUCUUCCCCCUCGAGUUCCUCGCGGAGCCGAGGAAAUUCCCGCACGGGGCUGGCACGGCCUUUCGGCCGCCCUCUGAUUGGGCGCGGGCGUCACAUGACCUGGCGCCGGGCGCCCAUUGGUCGGCCGCCGUGUCGGUUUCCGCAUUCCGGGCGGCGAGGGGCGUCCGGAGCGCCGAGUCCGGAGCAGCGUUAAAGGCGGCGGGGGAGCGCGGCUGGGAGAGUCGGGCCGAGCCUGAGUCUUGGUCUGAGAGCGCAGCCCCGCGGGAGAAGUUUGCGGUUCAGAACUUGGGUCGGUCCCGUCCUCCCCUCCCGGAGCUCGUGUCGCUCACAGCUGGCUCGCCGGACGGGCUGGGGUGUCUGUCUGAAAGGAAAGAGGCGCGUCUCUGUUUCCUGCUCAUCUCCCUCUUCACGACCACUUCCGCGGACACGGCUGCUGAACUUUCUCUCUCCACGCAGAGAGAGGGACACGGGCAAGACAGACAGGUACAGAGAGAGAGAGACAGGCAAGACAGACCAUUACAGAGAGAGAGAGACAGGCAAGACAGACCAUUAGAGAGAGAGAGACAGGCAAGACAGACAGGUACAGAGAGAGAGAGACAGGCAAGACAGACAGGUACAGAGAGAGAGAGACAGGCGAGACAGACAGGUACAGAGAGAGACAGGCAG
RNAcentral lists this long non-coding RNA (837 nucleotides) under Lepisosteus oculatus (spotted gar). RNAcentral describes it as "lncRNA (ENSLOCG00000023097.1)". Lineage: Eukaryota; Metazoa; Chordata; Actinopteri; Semionotiformes; Lepisosteidae. The record is from RNAcentral.